RNAcentral lists this ribosomal RNA (552 nucleotides) under uncultured marine bacterium. RNAcentral's name for it is "bacterial SSU rRNA". It matches the Rfam family "Bacterial small subunit ribosomal RNA", at positions 78 to 627 of the family's 1533-position model. The record is from RNAcentral.
CUUCGGUGUGAGUAAAGCGGCGGACGGGUGAGUAACGCUUAGGAAUCUACCUAGUAGUGGGGGACAACUCGGGGAAACUCGAGCUAAUACCGCAUACGCCCUACGGGGGAAAGCGGGGGACCUUCGGGCCUCGUGCUAUUAGAUGAGCCUGCGUUGGAUUAGCUAGUUGGUGGGGUAAAGGCCUACCAAGGCGACGAUCCAUAGCUGGUCUGAGAGGAUGAUCAGCCACACCGGGACUGAGACACGGCCCGGACUCCUACGGGAGGCAGCAGUGGGGAAUAUUGCGCAAUGGGCGAAAGCCUGACGCAGCCAUGCCGCGUGUGUGAAGAAGGCCUUCGGGUUGUAAAGCACUUUCAAUUGGGAGGAAAGGUUCGCGGUUAAUAACCGUGAGCUGUGACGUUACCUUUAGAAGAAGCACCGGCUAACUCCGUGCCAGCAGCCGCGGUAAUACGGAGGGUGCAAGCGUUAAUCGGAAUUACUGGGCGUAAAGCGCGCGUAGCUGGUCUGUUAAGUCGGAUGUGAAAGCCCCGGGCUCAACCUGGGAACUGCAUU